This 427-nucleotide ribosomal RNA is filed under the name Neisseria subflava. RNAcentral's name for it is "bacterial SSU rRNA". It matches the Rfam family "Bacterial small subunit ribosomal RNA", at positions 30 to 451 of the family's 1533-position model. Lineage: Bacteria; Pseudomonadati; Pseudomonadota; Betaproteobacteria; Neisseriales; Neisseriaceae. The record is from RNAcentral.
AUUGAACGCUGGCGGCAUGCUUUACACAUGCAAGUCGGACGGCAGCACAGAGAAGCUUGCUUCUUGGGUGGCGAGUGGCGAACGGGUGAGUAACAUAUCGGAACGUACCGAGUAAUGGGGGAUAACUAAUCGAAAGAUUAGCUAAUACCGCAUAUUCUCUGAGGAGGAAAGCAGGGGACCUUCGGGCCUUGCGUUAUUCGAGCGGCCGAUAUCUGAUUAGCUAGUUGGUGGGGUAAAGGCCUACCAAGGCGACGAUCAGUAGCGGGUCUGAGAGGAUGAUCCGCCACACUGGGACUGAGACACGGCCCAGACUCCUACGGGAGGCAGCAGUGGGGAAUUUUGGACAAUGGGCGCAAGCCUGAUCCAGCCAUGCCGCGUGUCUGAAGAAGGCCUUCGGGUUGUAAAGGACUUUUGUCAGGGAAGAAAA